GCUUCAGUAGCUUAAAUAAAGCAUCGAUCUUGUAAGUCGAAAGCCGGGUUCUUAAAUUACCCCUGAUGCA
This 70-nucleotide transfer RNA is filed under the name Saccopharynx lavenbergi. Its description in RNAcentral is "tRNA-Thr". It matches the Rfam family "tRNA". Rfam says of the family: Transfer RNA (tRNA) molecules are approximately 80 nucleotides in length. Their secondary structure includes four short double-helical elements and three loops (D, anti-codon, and T loops). The record is from RNAcentral. Lineage: Eukaryota; Metazoa; Chordata; Actinopteri; Anguilliformes; Saccopharyngidae.